AAUCAACGCUGGCGGCGUGCCUCAGACAUGCAAGUCGAACGAUUAAAGCUCUCUUCGGAGAGUGUAUAGAGUGGCGCACGGGUGAGUAACACGUAAGUAAUCUACCUUCGAGUGGGGAAUAACGUCCGGAAACGGACGCUAAUACCGCAUAAUGCAGCGGCAUCGCAAGAUGACAGUUGUUAAAGAUUUAUCGCUUGAAGAGGAGCUUGCGGCAGAUUAGCUAGUUGGUAAGGUAACGGCUUACCAAGGCUACGAUCUGUAUCCGGUCUAAGAGGACGGUCGGACACACUGACACUGAAUAACGGGUCAGACUCCUACGGGAGGCAGC
RNAcentral lists this ribosomal RNA (328 nucleotides) under uncultured bacterium. Its description in RNAcentral is "bacterial SSU rRNA". It matches the Rfam family "Bacterial small subunit ribosomal RNA", at positions 32 to 352 of the family's 1533-position model. The record is from RNAcentral.